Molecule: ribosomal RNA, 386 nt
Filed under: uncultured bacterium
Lineage: Bacteria
Description: bacterial SSU rRNA
Rfam family: Bacterial small subunit ribosomal RNA
Source: RNAcentral
AUUGAACGCUGGCGGCAUGCCUUACACAUGCAAGUCGAACGGCAGCACGGACUUCGGUCUGGUGGCGAGUGGCGAACGGGUGAGUAAUGUAUCGGAACGUACCUUUCAGUGGGGGAUAACGUAGCGAAAGUUACGCUAAUACCGCAUAUUCUGUGAGCAGGAAAGCAGGGGAUCGCAAGACCUUGCGCUGAUUGAGCGGCCGAUAUCAGAUUAGCUAGUUGGUGGUGUAAAGGCCUACCAAGGCUACGAUCUGUAGCGGGUCUGAGAGGAUGAUCCGCCACACUGGAACUGAGACACGGUCCAGACUCCUACGGAGGCAGCAGUGGGGAAUUUUGGACAAUGGGGGNAACCCUGAUCCAGCCAUGCCGCGUGAGUGAAGAAGGCCU